RNAcentral lists this ribosomal RNA (447 nucleotides) under uncultured bacterium. RNAcentral's name for it is "partial 16S ribosomal RNA". It matches the Rfam family "Bacterial small subunit ribosomal RNA", at positions 330 to 792 of the family's 1533-position model. The record is from RNAcentral.
UCCAGACUCCUACGGGAGGCAGCAGUGGGGAAUAUUGCACAAUGGGGGGAACCCUGAUGCGGCGACGCCGCGUGGGCGAGGAAGUAUUUCGGUAUGUAAAGCCCUAUCGGCAGGGAAGAAGAAAUGACGGUACCUGAAGAAGAAGCCCCGGCUAACUACGUGCCAGCAGCCGCGGGAAUACGUAGGGGGCAAGCGUUAUCCGGAUUCACUGGGCGUAAAGGGAGCGCAGGCGGCACGGCAAGUCUGGUGUGAAAGCCCGGGGCCCAACCCCGGGACUGCAUUGGAAACUGCCGGGCUGGAGUGCCGGAGGGGUAAGCGGAAUUCCUGGUGUAGCGGUGAAAUGCGCAGAUAUCAGGAAGAACACCGGUGGCGUAGGCGGCUUACUGGACGGCAACUGACGCUGAGGCUCGAAAGCGUGGGGAGCAAACAGGAUUAGAUACCCGAGUA